Salvelinus fontinalis (brook trout) is the source of this 2748-nucleotide long non-coding RNA. RefSeq lists it as uncharacterized. NCBI's taxonomy places the organism in Eukaryota, Metazoa, Chordata, Actinopteri, Salmoniformes, Salmonidae. The record is from RefSeq and is a predicted model, not a curated record. The transcript is spliced from 6 exons.
ACGAUCUGAAAAGGAGUGAAACUGUGCGCUAACGUCCUGAAUUUGUCCACUUAGAACAUAUAUUUUGUUUUCAGUUGCAAACGGAACGAAAUGGGGAGGGACCUACCGGAAUUUGUCAAAUAUAAACUAUAGUUUGCGUUUGGAGUAAACGCAACAGACUAAACGUUUUGCAACAGAAUCGGUGUAAUGAUUACACCUCAGCACUCUGCCAGACAAUUUUAUGCAACAAUCCCCAGUAUAUUUGUUAUGAUGCGAAGAAAGUACAACAUUUCGUGCACUAGAACCUCCUGCAGCAAAGAACCCCCACAACAUGACGCUGCCACCCCCAUUGUAACGAUCGUCCUGGGAAGAAGGAGUGGACCAAAACGCAGCGUGACAGUGCCCUGUCUAACCCGGGGCUGCAUGGCCAGUUUGUGGAGCUGAACAAGGCCUACAGGGUGCUGAGUAAGGAGGUGUCCAGGAGAGAGUACGACCUGUGGCUACAGCACCCUUUUACCGGGGAACAGGCCUUCAGACCCACCUCCACACAACCCCAGGAGAGUAUGCGCUACUAGGAUCCGUUCAAACCCUGUCAACCUGAGGAGUGGGGGAGGAAGAGGAACUUUAGAAUAAUUAGCUACUGUAUGCUCAUCAUGGGACUGAGCAUCAGCGCUCACAUUCUCUUCAGGUGUCCUUCUCUCUUCCGGUCACACAGACUGUUGGAGUCUGUCCAUAACAACUUCACGGACGAGAAGAACAGGGUCAUCAAACAGAUCUACAAUGAGGGCAAGAGUGAACGGGUUUAAGAAGCAGACAGAGAUUCUCAGACAGAAUUCUCAGGAGAAAUACAAAAUCACUUGCAACAAGUAGGAGUUUAGUAGAAUACGAGCACAUCGUAAAACAAGGGGGAUUGAUUUGGCCAAACGCCUCGGGAAGAGGAAUGGAGUCAUUCAGGAAGGGGAGUGAACGGUUGAUGGAGUUAGGAGUAGUUAACGUUUUCAGUGGUUUGUGGCAGACGUUGAUGAUGUGCACAGCUCACAUUUGCUUGGACCUCGGAUACUAAGCCGAGGUGUUAAAAAACAAGUGUGUAAUACCUGGGUGAAACGGAAACAGUAAUGGGGUACAUGUCUUUGUCACAGUAAAGCCUCGCCCCACAGCCAUUCUAGGUUUCUCCAGGAGGAGAAUACGUUGUGGAGAUUUGGUCUGGUAUCACAAGACUAACAGCAGUAGGACAUGUCAUUAGCAGCACAUCUCUUCCGCUAUUGGAUGGAACCAAGACUCCUGUUAGCCAGUUGCUAAUUGGUUUGCAUACCCGUGACAUGCUGUUUCUCCCACGGCCGUUCAGAGGCAUGCUCAACAAGAUUCAUGGGACUGUGUGAAUUUGGCAUUCCAGAUAUAGUAAAACUUCAGUGUUCCGUAAUGUAAGUCGAUGGUUGAUUAAAGACUUUAAUCAAAGGUAGAAUCCCUUAAUGACAUAAAGGGGGUGUUCUGCACAGUUGCCCUUGAACCACUGGGAUUCAGUCAUUGUGCCUCUGUGUGUCAAUGAUAUCAUGGAACUCUUGACUCUGCUACUGGGCCCAGGGUGGACCCAAAUACAGUCAUAAAAAUAUACUGUUUGGGACAGGAGUUUUUCCUGUUACCUACAUGCAAUAUUUAGGACCUUCUGCUUUUCCUGGUUAUGUGAUGAGGAAAAACUGUCCCUAGAUAUACUAAAUCCUUUCCCAUUGAAAGGAUAUGGAAUCAAGAGACAUUUUGAAAAUUAAGUCAUAUUAGGACUUUUUAAAAUGGUAUCUAAUUGUACACUUCUCUGAUGUUGAAGAAUUCAUUUUAGGAAUGGAAAUUAUACUAUGGAAAGUACUGAAGUGGAAACUGGAAAGCAGGCAGAUUCACAUUUCUAAGAUUAGAAAUAUUUUAAUUUAUUGCUGUGGUCACGGUCAACAGACACUUACCAUAAGUCACAGAUUGUGUUUCAGUGAUGUUUAAUGACAGCCUUAACUCUUCACGGUGUCGUGGAUUCAUGCAAUGAUUGCACUGUUCCUCUGACCUCAACCAACAACAUCCAAUGUUUCAUUUUGAGUGUGUUUCUCACCUGAUUCCACUCUCACAUGUCAGGUCAGGUUUGGAAGUGAGCGAGUGGUGCAGUGUGUGUUAAUGACUCUAUGGCCUUCUGUUGUUUCUCAAGCCCUUAGCUGAAACCACAGGAGAUAACAGGUCCCCGCAUACCGACAUCCCCCAUGUAGUACACAAGUGCCCCCUCAUAACCAAAACACACCACACUGACAGAGACUCUUCUGUCGAUGUAAAGACAAACUGAUGGGAGACAGAGUUUACUGUACAGUCUGGGCUGCUGAUCAAGGUUUUGUAAGCCUCUGACUGUGACCUAGUGCUGCUGAUCAAGGUUUUGUAAGCCUCUGACUGUGACCUAGUGCUGCUGAUCAAGGUUUUGUAAGCCUCUGACUGUGACCUAGUGCUGCUGAUCAAGGUUUUGUAAGCCUCUGACUGUGACCUAGUGCUGCUGAUCAAGGUUUUGUAAGCCUCUGACUGUGACCUAGUGCUGCUGAUCAAGGUUUUGUAAGCCUCUGACUGUGACCUAGUGCUGCUGAUCAAGGUUUUGUAAGCCUCUGACUGUGACCUAGUGCUGCUGAUCAAGGUUUUGUAAGCCUCUGACUGUGACCUAGUGCUGCUGAUCAAGGUUUUGUAAGCCUCUGACUGUGAUCUAAAUUAGUUGUGCAAAAGUAUUAUUCCAAUCAAAUAAAUGAUUAAUAUCAA